Molecule: ribosomal RNA, 254 nt
Filed under: uncultured bacterium
Lineage: Bacteria
Description: partial 16S ribosomal RNA
Rfam family: Bacterial small subunit ribosomal RNA
Source: RNAcentral
UACGUAGGGUGCGAGCGUUUGUCCGGAAUUAUUGGGCGUAAAGGGCUCGUAGGCGGUUUGUCGCGUCGGGAGUGAAAUCCACUGGCUUAACUGGUGGCUUGCUUUCGAUACGGGCAGACUGGAGGUAUGCAGGGGAGAACGGAAUUCCUGGUGUAGCGGUGAAAUGCGCAGAUAUCAGGAGGAACACCAAUGGCGAAGGCAGCACUCUGGGACGUGACUGACGCUGAGACGCGAAAGCGUGGGGAGCAAACAGG